This 253-nucleotide ribosomal RNA is filed under the name uncultured bacterium. RNAcentral describes it as "partial 16S ribosomal RNA". It matches the Rfam family "Bacterial small subunit ribosomal RNA", at positions 524 to 776 of the family's 1533-position model. The record is from RNAcentral.
UACGGAGGGUGCGAGCGUUAUCCGGAAUUACUGGGUUUAAAGGGUGCGUAGGUGGGCCUGUAAGUCAGUGGUGAAAUCUCCGGGCUUAACCCGGAAACUGCCAUUGAUACUAUAGGUCUUGAAUUUUCUGGAGGUCAGCGGAAUAUGUCAUGUAGCGGUGAAAUGCUUAGAUAUGACAUAGAACACCAAUUGCGAAGGCAGCUGGCUACAGGAACAUUGACACUGAGGCACGAAAGCGUGGGGAUCAAACAGG